Long non-coding RNA from Lethenteron reissneri (Far Eastern brook lamprey), 929 nucleotides. RefSeq lists it as uncharacterized. The record is from RefSeq and is a predicted model, not a curated record. Lineage: Eukaryota; Metazoa; Chordata; Hyperoartia; Petromyzontiformes; Petromyzontidae.
UUAGAGGCCGGGGGGGUGGCAUGGACCGGGGGGGGCCGGGGGGGUGGCGACCGUGGGGGGUUUCAGGGGGGGCCGGGGAGGCUGGAUGGGCGGUGGGGGCCCUGGCAAGAUGGACGGCCGAAGUGACUACCGCCACGAGCAUCGCGACCGCCCCUACUAGGAGCCCCCUGGGUGGGAGUCUGGAAUCCAGAAUCCUGGGAGUCAAGAAUCCCGGGACCCUGUGAGUCCAGAAUCCCGGGAGUCAAGAAAACCUGGGACCCUGUGAGUCCAGAAUCCUGGGACCCUGGGAGUCCAGAAUCCCAGGACCCUGGGAGUCCAGAAUCCCUGGGACCCUGUGAAUCCAGAAUCCCGGGAGUCAAGAAUCCUGGGACCCUGUGAGUCCAGAAUCCCGGGAGUCAAGGAUCCCGGGACCCUGAAUCCAGAAUCCCGGGAGUCCAGAAUCCCGGGACCCUGUGAAUCCAGAAUCCCGGGAGUCCAGAAUCCCGGGACCCUGUGAAUCCAGAAUCCUGGGAGUCCAGAAUCCCGGGACCCCUGGGUGUCGUGCGCUGCCCGUGGUGCUGCACCCCCUUGUCCCACUCCGGAUUCCGGAACCCUCGUCCACUCCGGACUCUGGAGGCAAGCGGCCGGGAAGUAGGGGGGGGAGGGUGGGGGGAGGGGACGCUAAGUGGGGGGGAGGGGUGGGGGGUUGUGUUGUUGACGAGGGUUGUCGAGCAGGCAGAGGCGGCUUGUGGGGGUUGGGUAGCUGCCGCCAUCGUGAGUCGUGGUGGUUGAGGAGGUUGGUGGUGGUGGCUUGAUCGUCAUCGUGGUUGUGGGGUUUUUUUUUUACGUGGGUUAUUCCGUUCGUGUGACUGUCGCGGGGGGUAAGGGGCCCAGGUCUGUGAAAGGGGGUUGUGGAGAUCAAUAAAGGGUCGAGUUUUAAGUUACCGUGA